Molecule: small nuclear RNA, 19 nt
Filed under: Parhyale hawaiensis
Lineage: Eukaryota; Metazoa; Arthropoda; Malacostraca; Amphipoda; Hyalidae
Description: spliced leader precursor
Source: RNAcentral
CCUUUACCACGUUUUACUG